This 560-nucleotide ribosomal RNA is filed under the name uncultured Halobacteriales archaeon. RNAcentral describes it as "bacterial SSU rRNA". It matches the Rfam family "Archaeal small subunit ribosomal RNA", at positions 339 to 899 of the family's 1478-position model. The record is from RNAcentral. Lineage: Archaea; Methanobacteriati; Methanobacteriota; Halobacteria; Halobacteriales.
GCGCGAAAUCUUCGCAAUGUGCGAAAGCACGACGAGGGAACCCCAAGUGCCUUUGUACAACAAAGGCUUUUGUAGAGUUUAAAUAACUCUGAGAAUAAGGGCUGGGUAAGGCUGGUGCCAGCCUCCGCGGUAAAACCAGCAGCUCUAGUGGUACUCGCGAUUAUUGGGCUUAAAGCGUACGUAGUCGGUUCGGCAAGUUCCCUGUGAAAUCCUGUGACUUAAUUACAGGGCUUGCGGGGGAAUACUACCGAGCUUGGAACCGGGAUAGGUCAGGGGUAUUCCUUGGGUAGCGGUGAAAUGCUAUAAUCCAGGGAAGACCACCAAUAGCGAAGGCACCUGUCUGGAACGGGUUCGACGAUGAGGAACGAAAGCUAGGGGAGCAAACUGGAUUAGAUACCCAGGUAGUCCUAGCCGUAAACGAUGCAGACUAAGUGUUUCCCGAACUUUGCGUUCGGGAAGCGUUGAAGGGAACCGUUAAGUCUGCCGUCUGGGGAGUACGGUCGCAAGGCUGAAACUUAAAGGAAUUGGCGGGGGAGCGACCACAAGGGGUGGAGUCUGUC